Molecule: non-coding RNA, 506 nt
Organism: Odocoileus virginianus texanus
Lineage: Eukaryota; Metazoa; Chordata; Mammalia; Artiodactyla; Cervidae
Source: RefSeq, a predicted model, not a curated record
UCCGAGUGUGAGCAUCAUGGGUGAGCACGACAAAGCCAGCUCUGCCCACGUGAACCUGCACGGGACAUAGAAACGCUCUGUCCCUCGGGUCCCCAGUCUCUGAGAACUGGGCCCUUGGACCUCAUUCAUCGUCAAUGAGACAGUGCGAGUCCAGAGAUGCUGCGAGCUGUGUCUGGGGCACAGAAGGGAGAUGCGGUUGUCACUCCUGCAGGGUCAUGGCAGGCUCUCAGCAAGGCGGCAGCUCUCUCCUCGCUUUCACUCCUGUCCAUUUACAUUGGAGGAAAAUUAAAAAGAAAUGAAAUGCACUUAAGAGAAUGCCUUGAGGAGUUGCCAGGCCACCCAGCAUAAAAAACACUGCCAUGAACAUCCUUAAUUAGAAAUCUUUAAUCACUCUUGUGGCGAGUUAAGUUCCAAAUGGGGAAGAAGGAAAACCCAAGCCCACAUUGGACAUAAGUUGCAUGUACGUGACAAUAAAGCUCUUUGAACAGAGCCGAGAACCUGGUGCC